Long non-coding RNA from Carassius carassius (crucian carp), 816 nucleotides. RefSeq lists it as uncharacterized. The transcript is spliced from 5 exons. The record is from RefSeq and is a predicted model, not a curated record. Lineage: Eukaryota; Metazoa; Chordata; Actinopteri; Cypriniformes; Cyprinidae.
AGCAGAAAUGAAACCAAUGUUGUCUAUGACACAAAUAACUAUAUUACACUGGGACUGUUGUUGGUGGCACCCAUGAUGAUGCUUUACAGUUCGGUUAUCGGAUCAAAACAAGAACAUAUGCUGUGCUGUCAGAAGCGUUCAGGGAUCUUUUGAAAUGGUCAGAUGGUGUUAUGACUGGGUGAAUGAUCUUGACCAGAUCAACAGCGAGGUUUUAGCCAUUGAUUUGUUUUGUUUUGGUCCCACUUUGUGCACCUGUCCAGUCCCUCCCCGGUGGCUGCAAGUGUCCAGCUGAAUGUGAGCGAUCGGAAUUGACAGCAGGGAAAUGGAAAUUCAAUUUCACACGUCACCUGCUGCUCGCUAGAAUGUAAUCCACUAGAAUGAUGGAAGAGGAUGAGAAGUAUCUUAAUCACCAAACAGCUACUUCACAGAACUUACCACAGAAAUAUCAAGUCAAGUCACCUUUAUUUUUAUGCAAGCCAAAGGCAAAAGUGGCAAGGAACCAUCAGGUGACAGUAAUGGAGAGAGAAAAAAGGAGAUGCUUGAUCAAAGACGGAUGAUCUCUGAUGAGCCCAUGACAAGCGAGGGCGACUUGUGACACAGCAGGACCAGAAAUUGGAUGUACAUGCUCCAUAUGAGGGUUCACACAAAUUCAAUUGGAUUUGAAGCGUGAUCUCUUGAAGAGUGGAGCAAUGCAAUCAUGUCUUUUAUCGGUGAGUGAACAAACAGAUACAAUACCAGCAUUCUUCUCACAAACAGUACACACACAAUAAAUAAUAUAAAAAAGAGAUCAGUGAUAAGCUGUUUUUUGGGGUUUCU